This 253-nucleotide ribosomal RNA is filed under the name uncultured bacterium. Its description in RNAcentral is "partial 16S ribosomal RNA". It matches the Rfam family "Bacterial small subunit ribosomal RNA", at positions 524 to 776 of the family's 1533-position model. The record is from RNAcentral.
UACGAAGGGGGCUAGCGUUGCUCGGAAUUACUGGGCGUAAAGCGCACGUAGGCGGCUCUUUAAGUCAGGGGUGAAAUCCUGGAGCUCAACUCCAGAACUGCCUUUGAUACUGAAGAUCUUGAGUUCGGGAGAGGUGAGUGGAACUGCGAGUGUAGAGGUGAAAUUCGUAGAUAUUCGCAAGAACACCAGUGGCGAAGGCGGCUCACUGGCCCGAUACUGACGCUGAGGCACGAAAGCGUGGGGAGCAAACAGG